CCAGAGGCUCUGAGCUUUCUGACUGUGCUUUUUGUCCUACUCCCUCAGAUUCCUUCUAUUUCUGGCCAAUUUAAGGUUCCAGUGGAUUAUAAACAGUGCAUUUUACCAGAAAGAAGACAUUAAUUUUCAUCCUUGGCAUUUCUAAUUAUCUCUGGAGUUGUUCUCCAUUCACAUUUGACAAGGGAUAUGACUGGCUUUCUGCUUCUCCUAUAUCCCAUCUCUGUUUUCAUUCGAUGACUUGGUCUGUUCCCAGAAUCCUGCACCAUUGGCAGCUCGCCCACGGUGAAUCCUCACACCAUAUGGACUCUGUUGGGAUGCUUUUCUGACACUGGCUGAUUCUCAGCUGCCUCCCUUCUUUUAACUGCACUCUGUCUCUUCCUGAGGGUCCAGCAGACACCUUGAUCUGCGGGCAAAGGCGGUCCUGCAUCUGAGUGGUGAGUCCUCCUCC
RNAcentral lists this long non-coding RNA (448 nucleotides) under Vulpes vulpes (red fox). RNAcentral's name for it is "lncRNA (ENSVVUG00000006466.1)". The record is from RNAcentral. Lineage: Eukaryota; Metazoa; Chordata; Mammalia; Carnivora; Canidae.